GCAGUGGUGGUUAAGAGGUAGAAUUCUCACUUUCCAUACGGAAGACCUGGGUUUGAUUCCCAGCCAAUGUA
RNAcentral lists this transfer RNA (71 nucleotides) under Loxodonta africana (African savanna elephant). It matches the Rfam family "tRNA". Rfam says of the family: Transfer RNA (tRNA) molecules are approximately 80 nucleotides in length. Their secondary structure includes four short double-helical elements and three loops (D, anti-codon, and T loops). Further hydrogen bonds mediate the characteristic L-shaped molecular structure. tRNAs have two regions of fundamental functional importance: the anti-codon, which is responsible for specific mRNA codon recognition, and the 3' end, to which the tRNAs corresponding amino acid is attached (by aminoacyl-tRNA synthetases). tRNAs cope with the degeneracy of the genetic code in two manners: having more than one tRNA (with a specific anti-codon) for a particular amino acid; and 'wobble' base-pairing, i.e. permitting non-standard base-pairing at the 3rd anti-codon position. The record is from Rfam by way of RNAcentral. Lineage: Eukaryota; Metazoa; Chordata; Mammalia; Proboscidea; Elephantidae.